GUAGUGUUACUGACGCUAAAGCUCGAAAGUGCGGGUAUCGAACAGGAUUAGAUACCCUGGUAGUCCGCACGGUAAACGAUGGAUGCCCGCUGUUUGCCCUUCGGGGUGAGUGGCUAAGCGAAAGCGUUAAGCAUCCCACCUGGGGAGUACGCCGGCAACGGUGAAACUCAAAGGAAUUGACGGGGGCCCGCACAAGCGGAGGAACAUGUGGUUUAAUUCGAUGAUACGCGAGGAACCUUACCCGGGCUUGAAUUGCAGAUGACGGAUCUAGAGAUAGUGACUUCCUUCGGGACAUCUGUGAAGGUGCUGCAUGGUUGUCGUCAGCUCGUGCCGUGAGGUGUCGGCUUAAGUGCCAUAACGAGCGCAACCCUUCUCUUCAGUUGCCAUCAGGUAGAGCUGGGCACUCUGGAGACACUGCCACCGUAAGGUGUGAGGAAGGUGGGGAUGACGUCAAAUCAGCACGGCCCUUACGUCCGGGGCUACACACGUGUUACAAUGGCCGGUACAGAAAGUCGGAUGCCCGUAAGGUCAUUCUAAUCAAGAAAGCCGGUCCCAGUUCGGACUGAGGUCUGCAACCCGACCUCACGAAGCUGGAUUCGCU
This 601-nucleotide ribosomal RNA is filed under the name uncultured bacterium. RNAcentral's name for it is "bacterial SSU rRNA". It matches the Rfam family "Bacterial small subunit ribosomal RNA", at positions 731 to 1336 of the family's 1533-position model. The record is from RNAcentral.